Molecule: long non-coding RNA, 1399 nt
Filed under: Homo sapiens (human)
Lineage: Eukaryota; Metazoa; Chordata; Mammalia; Primates; Hominidae
Description: HSALNT0177779
Source: RNAcentral
UCCACCUGCCAGGUUCAAGCAGUUCUGCCUCAGCCUCCCGAGUAGCUGGGACUACAGGUGUGCACCACCACGCCUGGCUAAUUUUUGUAUUUUUAGUAGAGACAGUUUCGCCAUGUUGGCCAGGCUGGUCUCAAACUCCUGACCUCAGGUGAUCAGCCUGCCUCAGCCUUACAAAGUGCUGGGAUUACAGGCGCGAAGCCACCGCGCCCGGCCCCCACCACUGUGUUUAAUUCUAACCAAGGAGAAGAGGAAGUUCUGAAAGGAGAACAAGGAGAUCUGAGAACACGGCUCGGGCCUGGCCAGGGGCCUCUCAGAGGAAAGCUCUCCCUGUUGCGUCCCUCCACGCCAGGGCCUGCGUGGAGUGGGCACGGUUUUUGAUACCUGCCUUGCUGACCUUCAGCUCCAAUUUCUUCAUCUGAAAGUGAGGAUAAAAGAAUUAACCCCUCUUUCUAGUCAGAUGCCUGCUAGAUCCAUUUACCUGCUUGAAUUUGAGAUGUAUUGCCAGGAUACACCUCCACAGUCUGAUGGAACACACUGAAGAUAUCUGAACAACAAAAGGCAGAUUCCUUUCAAUCAUCUGAGUGAGCCCAGUGCAAUCUGAAGAGUCCCUACAGGUGGAAGAGGCAGGGGCCAGGAUCCAAGGAGCACCACAGCCUCUGGAAGCCGGGCAAGGAAGUGGACACCCCGGGAGCCUCCAGCAGGAAGGAAGCCCCGCGGACGCCCUAACUUCAGCUCAGCAGACCUGGUCAGAUUUCCGGCCUGCAGCUCUGUUAAGGGGAGACGUUUGUGUUGUUUGAGGCCACCGAGCCUGGUCAUCUGCGCCGGCAGCCGCAGGAGCCCAGGCCACCAUCCCCACGAGGUCCGUAUACUGUGAUGUCUGCCUGGGCAUUCUGCACAGGGUCUUUAUUUUCUCUUCCCCUCCCCUGCAAGGUCAGUCCCGGGAGCCCAGAAGGUGCUUGAUGAAUGAUCUGCAGCUGAUUGAGCGAAGGAACGAGUGAGCCGAGCCAGUCAGCAGCAUUAGUGUGAUACGUGUUGCUUUUCAAUUAAAGCUCUCUGCCUCUCGGUUGAGCAACUCUGAGAGCCGGGGUCCCCACCCUUCUGUCCCCCUCAUGGUGGGUCUUGUACCCAACAGCUUGCCAGAGCAGAGAGCCAUGAAUAGGGUUUGGUUUCAGGAAAGAUGACCAGGAGACUCAGCCCAGGAGUCAGCCUGAGUUCAAAUCCUGGCCCCACGCUUCCUGCCUUGUCACCCUGGGCAUGUGAUUCAGUUCUUGGUUCUUGUACAUUUGGGUGGAAACUGACAACUGCCUGCCAUGGGGAGAACCAGCUUGCCUGCCUUCUGCACCACGGCUGGCACUGAUCAUUAGCAGGUUAAAAAAAAAGCUUUGCCAAUACGCCGGGC